RNAcentral lists this ribosomal RNA (253 nucleotides) under uncultured bacterium. RNAcentral describes it as "partial 16S ribosomal RNA". It matches the Rfam family "Bacterial small subunit ribosomal RNA", at positions 524 to 776 of the family's 1533-position model. The record is from RNAcentral.
UACGGAGGGUGCAAGCGUUACUCGGAAUUACUGGGCGUAAAGCGUGCGUAGGUGGUGAGUUAAGUCUGUCGUGAAAGCCCCGGGCUCAACCUGGGAAUGGCGAUGGAUACUGGCUCGCUAGAGUGCGGUAGAGGAGAGUGGAAUUCCCGGUGUAGCAGUGAAAUGCGUAGAGAUCGGGAGGAACAUCAGUUGCGAAGGCGGCUCUCUGGACCAGCACUGACACUGAGGCACGAAAGCGUGGGGAUCAAACAGG